RNAcentral lists this ribosomal RNA (431 nucleotides) under uncultured bacterium. RNAcentral describes it as "partial 16S ribosomal RNA". It matches the Rfam family "Bacterial small subunit ribosomal RNA", at positions 29 to 507 of the family's 1533-position model. The record is from RNAcentral.
AACGAACGCUGGCGGCAGGCCUAACACAUGCAAGUCGAGCGCCCCGCAAGGGGAGCGGCGGACGGGUGAGUAACGCGUGGGAAUAUGCCCUUUGCUACGGAAUAGUCUCGGGAAACUGGGGGUAAUACCGUAUACGCCCUUUGGGGGAAAGAUUUAUCGGCGAAGGAUUAGCCCGCGUUGGAUUAGGUAGUUGGUGGGGUAAUGGCCUACCAAGCCGACGAUCCAUAGCUGGUUUGAGAGGAUGAUCAGCCACACUGGGACUGAGACACGGCCCAGACUCCUACGGGAGGCAGCAGUGGGGAAUCUUAGACAAUGGGGGCAACCCUGAUCCAGCCAUGCCGCGUGAGUGAUGAAGGCCUUAGGGUUGUAAAGCUCUUUCAGCUGGGAAGAUAAUGACGGUACCAGCAGAAGAAGCCCCGGCUAACUCCGUG